GGAGCCGGCCGGGCGGCCGCGGGCGGAUCGCGAGGUCCGUUCGAGGAAAGUCCGGACUCCGCAGGGCAGGGUGCUGGCGAGAGCCAGGCGGGGGCGACCUCGCGGACAGCGCAACAGAGAGCAGACCGCCGUCGCGGCGUGCCGCGGCGGUAAGGGUGAAACGGUGAGGUAAGAGCUCACCAGCGCGCCGGGCGACCGGCGCGGCUCGGCAAGCCCCACCCGGAGCAAGGCCAAGCAGGCAGCGUUCGAGGGCGGCCCGCCCGAGUUGCCGGGUAGGCCGCACCGGGCCGGCGAACGGCCCGGCGACGGGCGUUUCGGCGCCCGUCGAGAGAGAUGGUCGCCGGCGGUCUUGGGACCGCGCACAGGAUCCGGCUUACAGGCUGGCUCCUCCG
This 392-nucleotide RNase P RNA is filed under the name Actinomycetota bacterium. Its description in RNAcentral is "RNase P RNA component class A". It matches the Rfam family "Bacterial RNase P class A". From Rfam's summary of the family: Ribonuclease P (RNase P) is a ubiquitous endoribonuclease, found in archaea, bacteria and eukarya as well as chloroplasts and mitochondria. Its best characterised activity is the generation of mature 5'-ends of tRNAs by cleaving the 5'-leader elements of precursor-tRNAs. The record is from RNAcentral. Lineage: Bacteria; Bacillati; Actinomycetota.